AUCCAGCUGACGAGUCCCAAAUAGAACGAAUUGCACAUUCUGAAU
RNAcentral lists this non-coding RNA (45 nucleotides) under Schistosoma haematobium. Lineage: Eukaryota; Metazoa; Platyhelminthes; Trematoda; Strigeidida; Schistosomatidae. The record is from RNAcentral.